GAUGAACGCUGGCGGCGUGCCUAAUACAUGCAAGUCGAACGCUGAAGGAGGAGCUUGCUCUUCUGGAUGAGUUGCGAACGGGUGAGUAACGCGUAGGUAACCUGCCUGGUAGCGGGGGAUAACUAUUGGAAACGAUAGCUAAUACCGCAUGACAACAGUUAUUGCAUGAUAACUGUUUAAAAGGGGCAACUGCUCCACUACCAGAUGGACCUGCGUUGUAUUAGCUAGUUGGUGAGGUAACGGCUCACCAAGGCGACGAUACAUAGCCGACCUGAGAGGGUGAUCGGCCACACUGGGACUGAGACACGGCCCAGACUCCUACGGGAGGCAGCAGUAGGGAAUCUUCGGCAAUGGACGGAAGUCUGACCGAGCAACGCCGCGUGAGUGAAGAAGGGUUUCGGAUCGUAAAGCUCUGUUGUAAGAGAAGAACGAGUGUGAGAGUGGAAAGUUCACACUGUGACGGUAUCUUACCAGAAAGAGACGGCUAACUACGUG
RNAcentral lists this ribosomal RNA (495 nucleotides) under uncultured bacterium. RNAcentral describes it as "partial 16S ribosomal RNA". It matches the Rfam family "Bacterial small subunit ribosomal RNA", at positions 28 to 507 of the family's 1533-position model. The record is from RNAcentral.